AGUGAACGCUGGCGGCGUGCUUAACACAUGCAAGUCGAACGAGAACGGGAUAUAGCUUGCUAUAUUUGUCAGCUAAGUGGCGCACGGGUGAGUAAUGUAUAGAUAACCUGCCCUCUAGAAAGGAAUAACAGUUGGAAACGACUGCUAAUGCCCUAUAUGCCUUUAAUACAUAAGUAUGCAAGGGAAACGCUUUAGUGCUAGAGGAUGGGUCUGUAUGGUAUCAGCCUGUUGGUGAGGUAAUGGCUCACCAAGGCUAUGACGCCUAACUGGUUUGAGAGGAUGAUCAGUCACACUGGAACUGAGACACGGUCCAGACUCCUACAGGAGGCAGCAGUGGGGAAUAUUGCACAAUGGACGAAAGUCUGAUGCAGCAACGCCGCGUGGAGGAUGACACAUUUCGGUGCGUAAACUCCUUUUAUAUAGGAAGAUAGUGACGGUAUCCCUUUAGAAAGCACCGGCUAACUCUGUGCCAGCCGCCGCCGUAA
This 485-nucleotide ribosomal RNA is filed under the name uncultured bacterium. RNAcentral describes it as "partial 16S ribosomal RNA". It matches the Rfam family "Bacterial small subunit ribosomal RNA", at positions 29 to 523 of the family's 1533-position model. The record is from RNAcentral.